This 489-nucleotide ribosomal RNA is filed under the name uncultured bacterium. RNAcentral's name for it is "partial 16S ribosomal RNA". It matches the Rfam family "Bacterial small subunit ribosomal RNA", at positions 29 to 507 of the family's 1533-position model. The record is from RNAcentral.
GUGAACGCUGGCGGUAGGCCUAACACCUGCAAGUCGAACGGCAGCACAGGAGAGCUUGCUCUCUGGGUGGCGAGUGGCGGACGGGUGAGGAAUACAUCGGAAUCUGCCCAGUCGUGGGGGAUAACGUAGGGAAACUUACGCUAAUACCGCAUACGACCUUCGGGUGAAAGAGGGGGAUCGCAAGACCUCUCGCGAUUGGAUGAGCCGAUGUCGGAUUAGCUAGUUGGCGGGGUAAUGGCCCACCAAGGCGACGAUCCGUAGCUGGUCUGAGAGGAUGAUCAGCCACACUGGAACUGAGACACGGUCCAGACUCCUACGGGAGGCAGCAGUGGGGAAUAUUGGACAAUGGGCGCAAGCCUGAUCCAGCCAUACCGCGUGGGUGAAGAAGGCCUUCGGGUUGUAAAGCCCUUUUGUUGGGAAAGAAAUCUUUCAGGCUAAUACCCUGGGAGGAUGACGGUACCCAAAGAAUAAGCACCGGCUAACUUCGUG